Molecule: long non-coding RNA, 461 nt
Organism: Macrobrachium nipponense
Lineage: Eukaryota; Metazoa; Arthropoda; Malacostraca; Decapoda; Palaemonidae
Exons: 3
Source: RefSeq, a predicted model, not a curated record
AGACUCGUCACAGUAAGUGGUGAAAGUACCCACUGUUGUGAUACUACAUUCUCUCUAAAGUAACGUAUUUCUAGCUUUGUGAAUGUGGGGUAAUUGUGAUGUAUUAAGUUUGAUAGCACCGAAGGAUACAUAGAAGCAAAGCCUGCAGACUGCCAGUCGGGGAAAAACAUCAUGAUCGGUUUCAAAUAUUCGACGAUGAGCGUAGGCAAGUGGAUCCCUCGAAUUGCACAAGCGCUUUCAACGAUGCCAUCUGCCAGGCUGAUGAGUACAAAAGACAUCAAAUGGCUAUGGCCAGCGAAUUGCGAUAUCGAGGACUUGCACAAAGCGAAUUUCUCUGGCACGAGAGUCGGGUCAUGUGUGGCAACACUGAACAGUGCCAGGCCCUUGGAGGAAGACGAUUUUCUCAGGACACUGAGACUCCUUAUGAAGUAAGUUAUGGGAACAUUCAUUCUCUUUUGACA